RNAcentral lists this ribosomal RNA (519 nucleotides) under Cladosporium sp. 3 PV-2016. RNAcentral describes it as "eukaryotic LSU rRNA". The stretch from base 172 to 325 matches the Rfam family "5.8S ribosomal RNA". Lineage: Eukaryota; Fungi; Ascomycota; Dothideomycetes; Cladosporiales; Cladosporiaceae. The record is from RNAcentral.
GGAGGGAUCAUUACAAGUACACUACCGGCCUAACCCGCCGGCUAUGUAUAACCCUUUGUUGUCCGACUCUGUUGCCUCCGGGGCGACCCUGCCUUCGGGCGGGGGCCCCGGGUGGACACUUCAAACUCUUGCGUAACUUUGCAGUCUGAGUAAAUUUAAUUAAUAAAUUAAAACUUUCAACAACGGAUCUCUUGGUUCUGGCAUCGAUGAAGAACGCAGCGAAAUGCGAUAAGUAAUGUGAAUUGCAGAAUUCAGUGAAUCAUCGAAUCUUUGAACGCACAUUGCGCCCCCUGGUAUUCCGGGGGGCAUGCCUGUUCGAGCGUCAUUUCACCACUCAAGCCUCGCUUGGUAUUGGGCGACGCGGUCCGCCGCGCGCCUCAAAUCGACCGGCUGGGUCUUCUGUCCCCUCAGCGUUGUGGAAACUAUUCGCUAAAGGGUGCCCAGGAGGCUACGCCGUAAAACAACCCCAUUUCUAAGGUUGACCUCGGAUCAGGUAGGGAUACCCGCUGAACUUAAGCA